GGGACGGAGAAGGUUAUGUCAGCAAGCUGUUGGAAUAGCUUGUUCAAGCCGGUAGGUGGAAAGUUUAGGCAAAUCCGGACUUUCAUAACACCGAGAAGCAAUAACGAUUGUCUACGGACAAGAAGUGACAGAUACCACGCUUCCAGGAAAAGCCACUAAGCUUCAGCCAAGUCAGAACCGUACCGCAAACCGACACAGGUGGGUAGGAUGAGAAUUCUAAGGCGCUUGAGAGAACUCAGGAGAAGGAACUUGGCAAAUUGAUACCGUAACUUCGGGAGAAGGUAUGCCCUUUGAUGUGAAAGACUAGCUCUGUAAGCAUCGGAGGGUCGCAGAGAAUCGGUGGCUGCGACUGUUUAUUAAAAACACAGCACUCUGCUAACACGAAAGUGGACGUAUAGGGUGUGACGCCUGCCCGGUGCUGGAAGGUUAAUUGAAGAUGUGAGAGCAUUGGAUCGAAGCCCCAGUAAACGGCGGCCGUAACGAUAACGGUCCUAAGGUAGCGAAAUUCCUUGUCGGGUAAGUUCCGACCCGCACGAAUGGCGUAACGAUGGCCACACUGUCUCCUCCUGAGACUCAGCGAAGUUGAAAUGGUUGUGAAGAUGCAAUCUCCCCGCUGCUAGACGGGAAGACCCCGUGAACCUUUACUGUAGCUUUGCAUUGGACUUUGAAGUCACUUGUGUAGGAUAGGUGGGAGGCUUAGAAGCAGAGACGCUAGUUUCUGUGGAGCCGUCCUUGAAAUACCACCCUGGUGACUUUGAGGUUCUAACCCAGACCCGUAAUCCGGGUCGGGGACCGUGCAUGGUAGGCAGUUUGACUGGGGCGGUCUCCUCCCAAAGAGUAACGGAGGAGUUCGAAGGUUACCUAGGUCCGGUCGGAAAUCGGGCUGAUAGUGCAAUGGCAAAAGGUAGCUUAACUGCGAGACCGACAAGUCGAGCAGGUGCGAAAGCAGGACAUAGUGAUCCGGUGGUUCUGAAUGGAAGGGCCAUCGCUCAACGGAUAAAAGGUACUCCGGGGAUAACAGGCUGAUUCCGCCCAAGAGUUCAUAUCGACGGCGGAGUUUGGCACCUCGAUGUCGGCUCAUCACAUCCUGGGGCUGUAGUCGGUCCCAAGGGUAUGGCUGUUCGCCAUUUAAAGUGGUACGUGAGCUGGGUUUAAAACGUCGUGAGACAGUUUGGUCCCUAUCUGCAGUGGGCGUUGGAAGUUUGACGGGGGCUGCUCCUAGUACGAGAGGACCGGAGUGGACGAACCUCUGGUGUACCGGUUGUCACGCCAGUGGCAUAGCCGGGUGGCUAAGUUCGGAAGAGAUAAGCGCUGAAAGCAUCUAAGCGCGAAACUCACCUGAAGAUGAGACUUCCCUGGUGGUUAAACCACCCUAAAGAGUCGUUCGAGACCAGGACGUUGAUAGGUCGGGUGUGGAAGCGCGGUAACGCGUGAAGCUAACCGAUACUAAUUGCUCGUGAGGCUUGACUCU
Molecule: ribosomal RNA, 1471 nt
Filed under: metagenome
Description: bacterial LSU rRNA
Rfam family: Bacterial large subunit ribosomal RNA
Source: RNAcentral